Amphiprion ocellaris (clown anemonefish) is the source of this 1036-nucleotide long non-coding RNA. The record is from Ensembl. NCBI's taxonomy places the organism in Eukaryota, Metazoa, Chordata, Actinopteri, Pomacentridae.
UGCAGGGUGGCCAUUUAUUUGCUGCUGUCGACUCAUUCUCCCAACCUUCUCUGAGCUCUAAAGGAUCUGGAAUUCUCAGAAUCCCUUUCCACAUGCGUAGCCUACGCCAUCUCCGUCGCGGAGCCCCCAGCUCCCCUGCCUCCUCUCCAGCACCAGCUUCAGCACCAGUACCAGCUCGGACACCGACCCUGUCAACAUCAACCUCCAGCACGUCACAGCAACGUCUUAUCACCGGCAAGAGGAAAGGGGCCACAGAAAAUUGGACCUUCCAGGCGUACUUGUGGAGAUGCAGGCUGAGGAGGAGUGGAGUCAUGCCCGGCAUGAUGACAACAUCUGGUUGCUCCUCAGUGAGGCAAGAGAGAAUGAAGCGGCCUUGCAGUGGGAGGAGAUGGCCCAGAAUGCUGCCUUCAACCAGUCAUUCCUGGGUGUGCUGGGGCAGCUGGUGCAGGCAGUGCUGGGUGUGCUGGGGUAGCUGGGGCAGGCAGUGGGCAGCCGGCGAGUGUGAGCGAGUCCACCUCCCGUAGACUUGAGAUUUACAAGUGCUGGUCAUAUAAUUAGAAUAUCAUGAAAAAGCUCAUCUUUUGGACAACUGUCAGGUCAGCAGUCUUCCUCAUGAUUGUGUAGCCUACAGAACUAGACUGAAAAGACCAUUUAAAGGCCUUUGCAGGUGUUUUGCGUUAAUUAGCUGAUUAGAGGUGUCUUCAGUAUUGAACCUUUCCACAAUAUUCUAAUUUUCUGAGAUACCAAAUUUGGGAUUUUCGUUAUUAUUCAGGUAUAAUCAUCAAAGUUAAGAGAAACAUUUGAAAUAUAUCAGUCUCUGUGUAAUGAAUGAGUAUAAUAUACAAGUUUCUCUUUUUGAAUGGAAUUACUGAAAUAAAUCAACUUUUUCAUGAUAUUCUAAUUAUAUGACCAGCACCUGUAGUUGUAUAAAGUUUUACUUUUAGCCCUCCACUGUAGGAGAGGCCCACCACAGUUUGUACUUUGCACAUUGUAAAUAGUUUUGAUUUUGCUGCUGACUAAUAAACUAUUUUGUGAC